UUGACGGCUUAGGUGCUAGCCUACUACACUCGACGAGCUCAAAUUCUGUUUUCUUAAUCUUCACUGCAAUGGUAGGUCAACCCACGUCCGUCCGCCGCUGACCUUCCUCAUCAUAAAUUAACAAGAAUAAUAUACUCCACUCUCUCUCUCUCUCUUCAAAAUCCCCAAUUUUUGCAUUUAGGGUUUCACAAAUCGUCAUCUUUGUAAUCAGCGACCGACAUAAUCAAGCAUUGCGAAGAGCUUAAUUGCAGUUGUAAGGAGAAUUACGAAGCGGGAUUUGCGAUGCCGCGAAGAUGAGAGGAGGGGUACGACGACGAGAUGAUAACGGCGGAGAUUGCAUUUCAUUGAUGAUUUGCCAGAGGAAGACCAUGAUGAUGAGGAUUACGGCGGUGGCAGUGGAAAGAGGAAUGCAAAGAAGAGGUCGGGGUCUCAUUUUUUUGAACUUGAAGCUGAAGUUGAUAGUGAGGAAGAAGAAGAUGAGGAGGAAGGCGAAGAUGGUCAGAAUCUCAUUCAGUUUAUUUUGUGUGAAUUGUUACUAAUAUUUGAAAUUUACUUAAUUAUACGUAUCAUUCACCAUCAUUUACUGUCGGAAUUUACAGUUAGUGUUUUGCGGAAUAUUUGUGUGCAAAACUGGUGAUAUUUGGUGGAAACUUUGGAUAAAUUUUUAAGCUUUAGGAUUUUUUUCAGGAAUAACAAUAUGUUGCAUAGUUUGAUAGGAGAACAGUGUGCAUGAGUUUUAUAUGGGUUGAUGAUGUUGAUUGUCCAUCGAAAAUUUUAUUUUUUUCCCUUUGGGUCUAUACUUUUUUCUUGAAAUUGAUGUCAUAUAAAAUUUUUCGAUGGUUUUUGAGCAUCUUCCGCUAUGGAUUGAAAUGGGGCAGAAAAAUUUUGGUGGUUUUUUGUGGAUCUGCAGCUAUGGAUGAAAUGUUACAUGUAAUUAAUUGAGAUUAGGCUGGUUAGUGGACUGGUAAAAUGUUUAUAGUUAAACGCUUUGUUGUUAGUAAGUUGAAAUAAGGUCUGAACAUUUGUCCUGUGAAUCUGAAAUACAAUCAGAGUGAAAGGAAUAUUAGCAGCUUAGGAUUUCGGUUUAGAAAUUUAAAAUUUGUUUUCUGGUACACUGGAAAGCCAAUGUAAUGUCUUGUAUUGUUGUUUUCCAGCUUAUCAUUCUAUUGUUGGCUUUUCUGAGAAAGCAGUUUACAACAUUUUGAAACUUGAUGUAUGAAACUCAAUGAGUGGAUGUGGGUAAGAAAUUUGUCAAUUGAAUAAAGAUGGAGAAAGGAAUAUGUGAGCUUUCUCUGACUCUGCUGUCCAUGAAUUGGCUUUCCUCCAUAACGUACAGUGAUUGCAAUGUGAGUUUAAGUUGGAUAGAUUCUGUUUCUUCACCUCAUUAGAGUUUCAAACCAAUUUGGGUUGUGUUCUAGUAUUGAACUUUACAGAAUAAUCUCGGCACAUUGAAAUUUAAGUGUAAAGCAUGUCCGCUAACAAUAUUUGAGAAUUGAAUUUGUAGUUAGAUCUAUCUUAGUAUGUAGCUGAUGCGUGCAUUUGGUGUUGACUCAUUGCAAAUUAUCAAUCUUCUAGGGUGAUACACAAUGGUUAUUCAUUGCAAAUUGACUCAUAUGUCUUUUUGCUACUUGCGUUAGGUGGUGUUCAUAAAAACGGCUGUAGGAAGCAUGACAGUUGAAGUGCCAGAGGACAAGCUAAGGAAGUAUAUGAGUUGAUUCGAGUACCAAGAUUGGUUAAAAAGAGUAAGAGCAACAACUGCAGUUACUUUGUUAUGUUUUUUGUUUGAAAUCAGCUUUAUUGUCACAUUCCUUUCACCAGUGACGCUAAAACUGCAUGUAUGUUGUUAACUGUUCUGAUUGUUAUCGAGAAUAAUUUUUUUCAAUUGCUAUCUGUUAAAUGAGGCAAGAAAUUGGCUUACUUGAAAUGAAUUAGAUAGCCAAGUAGGUACACACACAGUUAACAGGAAUAAACUACCUCAAUGCAGUGACAGUGGAAUUAUUGGUUUCAGUCAUCUGAUGUCAACUAUAUCUGAUGUGAAAAGCUUCACCAAUGAUAUGGUUUCGCUGACAUUAGUAGCAGUACAUGAUAUGGCAAUCGCAAGAGCUGGACUAUAAUGAACAUGUGAAUUAUAUGAUUUAGAGAGCAAGGAGGUGAUUUGAGCAGUCCGCAUUUUAAGGUUAGCUACUCGAUCAGAUGGAUUGAUCAAUAUCUGUAUUUUUAUCAAUUGUCGUACAAGAGUUUAAAAAAAUUUAGAGCAAACGCACCAUAUGAAAAGUUGUUUGGAGAAGCAAAGUCUUGAUGUCAAAUUUUUAUAGCUCAGAACAUAAACCAUAAGCAAGUGGCAAAACUGAAUGUAAGAGCAACUAAGCAACUGAAUUUUGAUUUCUCCUUCUCACAAAUAAGGAAGUAUUCAUUAAAUUUUUAAUUCAAGAAUAUCAUCAAGAAUAUCUUGAUUAGAAGUUUCUAAUGCUGCCAAAGUGAGACUAAGGUAGCUACUAAGCUGAAUAACCUGUGGGAGACAAUUUUUUAAAAAGAUGGAAAAGCUAAAAGCUAAAAGUCUGUACUCUUGUGUUCCCGAGAACGUUGGAUAAAGUUCCUGUACAUACCAAUGCGAGACAGAGAGAAUAAAAGCAAAACUCUCAAGAGUCUAAUCAGUGGAUGAUUGAUUGAUUCAACAUCAUUUUUACACAGUUGGCAUAUGUCAGCAUUAAGAAGGUGCCCCUUGACUCUGUAUUUCAACAAGUUAUUGUUAAGUGAUUGUUGGGCUAUGUCUUCAUAAGUUUCAAUUGCCUUUGGAUAUCUGCAGGGCAUUAUGAGUAUCAGUUUUAAAGACACACACACACUAAAUCUUGUGUAUAGGGUAAAAACAAAAAGUCUUAUGAAGUAAUCUUAGUUUAGCUGGCACUCAGUCUUCCUAACCUUAAAUCUUUAGUACCAUCUUUUCAUUUCUGCAUUUACUUUUUAGUUUUCUUGACAUAAGCAAAUUGGGCAAUUUUCUGUUCCCACUGAUUUGCAGUGGUGUUGAUACCUUCACUUUGGAAAAGAUCAGCUGCUCUCUCAUAGUAGACAAUGGUCUGCUCCAAAUUCUCUUCUUACUCAUAUAGUUCAGCAAUUUCUUAGAUUCAAAUAAAGGAAUCAAUAGCUAACACUCAAAAGGAAACAUAGAUUAAGAGAUAAAAGCAGAUAUCACAGCCAUCAUGGCAUGAUAGACAGUAAAUAUAUAGCAUCGUAGGUUAUGAGUUCUGAUAAGUUGACCAAUAGUCUGUACGUAUUGAUGUUACAAUAUGUCGAAAAACUUUACAUGAGACAUGAAAACUUUACAUAUGAAUCACAAAAGUAUCAAAUCUAUCUAAAAGACAUUCUGUUCUUUCAGAAAAGAGAAAUGAGCUUCAAGAAUAAGAUGGACGAUGACUACAGAGGCAAAAGAUAUUUUAUUUAGGUGAAGUGACAUAGAUUGCACCUUGUAGUAUCUUGUGGACAUAUUGAGCCUUGCAAUUUCCAAGAACAAAUUCACGGACUGCUCCAAGGAAGAUAUAGACUGUGUGAAGAAUAAAAUUAUUAGCCAUCAACAGUUCGUAAAAUAAAAGCUCUAUAAUCUAAGUGAAAAGAUGAUGGCUUAAAUCCCAAAAUGGGAUUGGAUGAAAAUCAGAGGAAGAAAGGAACAAGAAUAUCAAAACAGAUAAAAGCUAGGCUGGAAAUUAGGAUUAAAAAUAAAUUUCAUUGCAUUUCUUAAGUGCGGUUGAAUUUGCAAAGAUGAGAUUUCUUUAGUGCGGUUGCAUUUCUUUAGUAGCGCUUAUUAGCAAAAAAAGAUGGGAUAAAAUUGGCUGAUGAAGAAACCAACUGAUAAUAUGAGAAAGAAAGCAGGCAUAGGAAAUAAAGUUUAAGACAAUAUUUAAUCUACUUUUUUGGUGUUGAAGUAUGGACAAGUUCCUAAAAACAUCAUGUAAUCAAUAACUAAAAACUAAGACUGAUCUUCAAUUUAAGCUGAAACAAUCAGCCACCAGAUGAAUGAUUGUAUUGAGUGAUAACUGACAGCUGUAGUCUGAGCUCAAACAAUGUGUCAAAACUGGUAAGAGACCAAACCUUUAAUGUUUGUCUUCUUAUAGCAAUGAGUGGCAUCAGCAUAAGCAUUUGCAGCUUCAUGUUUGCUAUCCAACUGUGAUAUCAAAAUUACGAAAUUUGGUACAGCAAACGAGAACAGCUACAGAAUUGAUACACAAAAAUAGGAGGUAGAUAAAUCCAAGCAAUCAACAACUUUCGAAUACUUACCUUCAGAUGACAACUUGCCAACUUGACAUACAUAGCUCAAGCUUGAUCCCCUGAAAGACCCCAAAAGUCAAAACUAAUGAGAAACAGCAGCAGAAUUCAGCUUAAUAAAUUUACAUACUCUGAGUCAAUAAAUGUUAGUCAGGAAUUACAAAUCACAAUUAUCAGCCACUUCAAGAAUUUGAAAGGCUUGAUUUCCAUUUACCAAAUAUGAAAACAAAGAGAAGGAGUGGCAAGUAAUGUUAACAUACAUCAAGGGUAGGGAAUAUACCCUUUUACAAGUUUGGGGAAGCAAAAGUAUGCACUUAAUAGUUAGAGAGUUAAAAGUUGACCAACUUAAUAAUUAGAGAGCCAUCCAAAAUUUUUACCCUCUGCUUUUUUAUACAUUGGAAAUUAGAGAAUGAAUAAAUGAGAAUUGAAUUGUCACAUACUUGCUAAGGAGAGUUUGAAUGUCUUUUAUUUAAAGUGGCACAUAGAGAAGAAAUAAAGGAGAACUGAGUAUGCCAUAUACUAAGAAAAGUCAAAUGCAUUUAAGCUAAAGUGGCAAUUGAACAAAGGUUAGUCUAUAGUGAUAAAAUCAAAAGUUGAGAUUUGGGGGUAAGGCUAACAAAGAUGAACAUUUGUGGUUGUUGAGGAAGUCUCCUUAAAGUUACGGUUGAUACUCUGGAAUCACGCAUUUUAGGUUUGACAGUAGUUCUUUUAUUUUUGAUAAUCAAUCAGCAUAAAUAGUUUCCUUUGGAUCUGUGUGGGAGACAUUUCUUUCAGAAUUUUGAUUACAUUUCUUUCAGCAUAAAUAGCUUGGUGUUCAUUGUUUACAAGGUCAAAUGCUAUUUGAAGUUGCCAAUAAAGCAUUAAUUUUGUCUUCUGUUCUUAAUAGUUUGUCAAAUACAGUAGCAGUGUCUUUUGGUGUAUCCAAAAGCAUGAGAAGCUGACAUAUGCUUAAACAAUCAGGCAAUGGCAGUUUUUGCAUCUACAUUCUUUAGAAUUUGGAAUAAGGUUAACAAGAAUGAAUUACAUUGAUAUAAUUACCUGAUGCUGAUAUUUUCUAGAGGUGAUAAAAUUGCGAGAGACAUCACUACAAUUGUGUUGGUUAUAUACCUACAGGGAAACUGAAAAAUGAGAUAAUGAGAAAAAGUUGAAAACUGUAGUGUAAUCUAGCGUUUCAGAAGUUUAUAUACAUGCAUGUACAGCUUUAGUUAAGACACAAAAUGAUAUAGUAGGAAAAAAUAAGUAAUAAGUUGAUGUGAUGGUUAAAAAGAAAUGCAUACUUAAGUUAUAUAAGGUCAAUGGCACUUUACACUCCAAGAUUAGAAGUUAUUCAACCAUGAUUUAUUUUGUUAUAAGUACAAUACAUAAUGAUAUCGAACAAAUUUAGAAGGCAGAACUGAACAAUAAUAUAGCACCUAGAAUAGUUCAGAGAUAAUCUAAAUCUGCUGAUAUAUUGAAUAGAAGCUCAAGUCCAAAGGUACAGAACAAUGAGUGAUUUAGUUCAUCUAAAUAACAAAAGAUCUGACAGGGGAAACAGAGAUUUGUUAUAAAUAAUGAAAGAAUAUGAGAGCAAAAGAACUUAGGCUUCCUCUUCUUGAAAUGCAUUAUACAUAAGCUGGUAAAAUGACUAAUAUAUUAAUGAAGCAGAUGAGUACUCUGUAGAAGUGAUGUUUAAAAGAAAAGUUUAUAAGGAUUUGGAGUUUUAGAUCUCAACCUGGGAUCAUAGUUAUUGCUUUUAGAGAAUUAGAGAUACAGGAAAAGCAUCUUUGAAUCUUUGAGGCUAGUAUUGCAGCUAGUUGUCUCUGAGCCUCAUCAAACUCUUCAUCUUUAUAUACAGUCUCACUGCAAAAUGAUAAACACUGAGCAAUGAAUUUUUUUAAUAUAGAAUUACGAGAAUGAGUAAUAUUAAUUCAUAAUCAGUGUUCUGUACGUACAACUACAAGAACCAGUAAUGUUAAUACGUAAUGAAUUUUCUGAAUAUAUAACUAUAAGAAUGAGUAGUAAGAGCAAUAUCAUGAGAGUUUAGCAAUAACUAAUAUUGGGGUAUAAAAAAGAUACUCUGUGAACAAAAGCAGUAAUUACUUGUAUGAGUUGUAAGAAAAAGGUCAACCAAGACAUUGCAACAACAAAAAUGGCCCUGAUGAGAGGAGAUCAAAUGUAAUGAACACUAACCUUUGUUUUUUGAAUAUCUCUUAAGGACAUUUGUCAUUAUUUGCAUUAGCAAUGAAGCAUAAGCUUUACUUAAUGCUAUAUCUUAAUACAAGAAUUUUCUUAUUACAUAUACUGAGACAUCAAUUGGCUGAAAAAUUGAAGCAGUAUUGAAAAAUAAGUAUUUUUUUACAAAAAAGUUAAGCAUGAGUUGUCAGUGAAAUCUGGUAAGUAUAAAAGCAAGUGAAAUCUGCAGCAGUGCACAACAAAUAAUUGGGUGUUAAGCUUUGAUUAGUGCAGAUAUAUAGCUGUGUAGAAAAGGUAGGGGCAAUAAAUGUAAUGAAUAUGAAUCUCACACUCUUAUAAUCAACAAUUAUGAAAGGUGAUGAUUUGCAAGCUGUAAAAUAUCUUUGUAUACUAUGUUAUUGGUAGCAUAGUCAACUGUUGGAUCAAAGGGAGAAGGCUAUAUAAGAAUCUUUACACAAUUGCUGCUUUUUGCUCUUGAUAAAGCAACAUAUAGUUGGCCAUGUGAAAAAACUGGUUCACGUAAGUAUAUACCAACAAAAUCUAAAGUUUGACCUUGAGCUUUAUUGAUUGUCAUUGCAAAGCAUAGACGCACUGGAAAUUGAAUUCUUUCAAAUGACAUCGGGCAAUCAGGAUUAUUUUCUAUUCGGAAACAUAUUCUAUGCAAAAAGACUUGUUUGCCUUUGAAUUCUCCAGCACUUAUAACUGCAUCAAUAAUAUUGUUAGUCAAAGAUUUACAUAUUAGCCUUGUUCCAUUGCAUAAACCUUCUGGGGGAUCAAUGUUUCUGAGAAGAAUUAUUGGGCAAUUUGGUUUUAGGAUAAGGUUGUGGGGGGGAAAACCAUUGGGUGUUAAGCUGUUGAGAAAAUCUUCAAAUAGGCCUUGUUCUGAAAUGUCAAGUGUUUUAUCACGACUAAUAUAUUCUUGAGCCUCACCUGGAAAAAUGUUAAUUAACAAGUUGUUUAACACAUCAACAAAUUCAUUUUUUGUAGUAAGGAUUGCUCGAUUUACCAAUGAAAAAUCAUCCUUGGAAAAAGCACUUAAAUCUGGGUAAACUGUUUUGAUAAGUUCAAAAAUUGAUUCUGUUUCACUUUUGUAUGGUAUUAGCAGUGGGAGAGGAAUUUUUACUUUUAACCCUUGUAUUGCUGGUUCUAGUCCAUUUCCUAUUCGGAGAAGGUAAUCUGUAAAUUCUGGGUCUGAUAUUGCUCUCAUAUUAUCUGUGAGGUAUAGUUUGUGAAGCUGUGGCCAAAUGUAUGAAGUUACUAAGCUAGCUUGUACAAAAUCUUCCUUUGAACCUUUAGUGACAACAGGGAGAACUUGUCUAAAGUCACCACCAAAAAUCAUAACUUUUGAGCCAAAUAACUCAGGAGAACCCAUUAAAUCUUUUAGUAGUGCAUCCACACCUUCUAUACCAGUUUUGUGUGCCAUUGGAGCUUCAUCCCAAAUAAUAAGUUUAGCCGCUUGAAUUAGUUUAGCAAGUGCACUUUGUUUACUAAUUUUACACAUAUUGACUGAAUUCAUAUCAAUUGGAAUCUUGAAUCGAGAGUGCGCUGUUCUACCUCCCGGUAAUAUUGAUGCUGCAACUCCACAAGAAGCAGUAGCUAAUGCUAUAAAGCCUUUUGAUCGUACUUCAGCUAAUAACGCUCGAUAAAGAAAUGUUUUUCCUGUGCCACCUGGUCCAUCUAUAAAGAAACAUCCUUUUUCUUUAAUGUAUAAUGCCUGCAUUAUAGUAUCAAAAGCUGCUUUUUGACCAGGAUUGAGUUUAGUAAUUGAUAUCAAGUCAUCCUCUGAAACUUUAAUCUCUGUUUCACUAAUUGUAUCUCUUGCAUCUGUAUUUGAGUCAUGGAAUUUUAGUACUCUUGGCACCAGUCCAUAGCUGUUUAUGUUAAGACCCAUAGACUCUAAAAAAUUGCUUAUUUGAUGCAGAACUUUAAAUUGAAUAUCAUUUUUGGUUAAAUUUGGGACUCUAUUGUAAUCUUCAGACAAUGAUUCUUCAAAUUUCAGCCAUAGGGUUCUUGGAUUUGAGGGGGUAAAAUAUACCAACAAUGUUGCGAACAACCUUCUUAGGCUAUAUGGCAUAUGAUAAAGGGCAGCUUCUUCUAGACAUUGUUCUUGUGAGUUAUUUGAUUCUAAAUAUCCUCUAAGUGCAGCUGCUUCGCGAAAUGUAGUAACAUGUACUCCAUUUACAGUUUUUAAAUCAUCAUAAGAAGUUGGACUUUUAACAUGCAGUAAAAGGAGUCUUAGGAAGUACCGUUCACCUUCUAGGGGAUUUGCUGCAACAACUCUGCCGAUAGAAUCUUUUUGUUUUCUAGGUUGCCAAGAUUUGGAACUUGGAUACCACACAAAAUGCUCAGGAAACUCUUUGUAGGUACAUUUGAGACUUUUUGCAAAAUCAUCUGUAGCAUUCAUUCGAAAAAAUUCGGUGAGCAUAGUUCUUUUUGCAAAAUUGUUACUUAAUAUAUUGUCAAGAUUAUCAUUUGGUCGAAACAGCAUAGAUUGAAAGUUUUCUAGGUGAAGCUGAAGUUGUAUUACAGCAGGCUGCAUUUCAUAAAGAUGAAAUCUGUAUAUUCUCCACAUUGCUUCAGGUGCACAUACCCACCGUGCUGACUGAUAUUCUUUGAUUUCAUCAAUAGGAUUUGCUCCAUCAUCUGAAUUCACUUGAAAAUGUAUCCUUGCAUGGCCUUUGUAUAUAUACUUAUACACAUACUUGACAGCUUUAAUUGUGGAGCAAAUUUCUACAUUUAUAUGGCAAUUGAAUUUAGCCAACAGAUAAGCAUUGUAUGGCACUACCCAUCUGUUGUCUAAGUAGUGUCCCCGAACCAAUAUUUUUUUCCCAUCAUUUCUUCUUCUGUAUGUUGGAUACGAAUUCUGAGAAUGUGUAGUUUUUUCUGCCCAUGCUUUUGGGUAAUUGUUCUUGCAAGACUUCUUUGAUGCACCCUGCAUACAUACAUUAUCAGGUUUUUUCUCGCCACAUGGUCCAUGCAUCAUAUGUUUCUUGACCAUUCUAAACAGAUGCUCAUUUUGUGCUUCGUCGGGUAUUUCUGCAGAAACUAUACGAUCAUAAUCUUCUGUUGUAUAUAAUUUGAAAGUAGGCUUCAGGAUAAUCAAAAAGUGCGCAUGAGGCAAACCGCGUUUUUGAAAUUCUAUAACAUAAGUAUAUGCUGCUACUUCUCCAAAUAUUUGCUUCUUGAACAGCUCUUCUUUCAUAAUUUCUAACUUUGCAUGAAACACACGAGCAAUAAGAUCAGGCCUAUUUUGUGCUUCAUCUGAUUGUAACAGAUUUUCUUUAAUCUCUGGCCAUGAUUGAUUGCAAGUCAUGGUUAUAAAAAGAUCUGGCUUCCCAAAUUUCUGAACUAAAGCCAUAGCAUCAAGAUACCUUUUUUUCAUAUCUCUAGGACCUCCAAUGAAUGAUGUAGGCAAUAUUACUCGCUGUCCGAUUUGAAAUCCAUUUUGUUGCCCCUGUAUUACGCUGUCCAUAAUUCCUUGUAGCUGCUCUCGACGUAUUUGCUGUUGUCGACUUCGAUAAAAAUCUAGUCUUUGUGUCUCUAUUUUAACAUACAUGUCAACUGAAUAUUGUUGCAAAGCUCUUCCAGCAUUCAAAAUAUUUGGCCCAAUUUUUUUCCUCAUCUGAAAUUUAUAUGCAUAAUACUCUCUCAUGGAUACAUAUUCCUUGGAGUUUUCAUAUGCCUUGUAAGCUGUAAAAUUUAGAAUAUUUGUCAAAGAAGAGAUGACUGCAAUUGAAUACAACUAUACAUAAUGAAUGGUAUAAAUGUGUUACCUUCUUCUUCAAGAUCAAUCAUUUCUUCUGGUGACUUAAAGCUAGACAAUGUAGCUGUACAUGACUGUUUCGUAGUCUUUCUUUUGCGCUUUUUUGGAUUGCCUCUUCCUGAUCUUUGUAUACCUGGAUGCCAUCCAGUUUCUCCAAAUGGAAAAAGUAGUGGAUACUGAAGAGGGUCAUAACAGCCGUAGUAGUAUUGAAUGCGGUGACUGUGUCCUUCUUUUGUAUAUAUCUGUAUGUGUCUAGAAUAACCUUGAUUAGCAUUGUCUCCUUCAACCCAUAAAGCUGCAACUUGAGAUACAGUGGGUUUAUUAAACACUCGCUGGUCGUUGUCGGAGUGAGAUUUUAAUACUAUUUGAUAUGAGUCCAGGUUUGGAACAUUUCUCAAACUCCUGAAGAAGCAAGCAUAUGGAUUGUCUUUCAUUACUUCCAUUAGCUUCACUACAAUUCUUUCGGUCAGCCUUUCUGAUAUUGCUAAUCGAUUCUGAAUUCCAUGUUCUGUGUCAUGGAAAUAAAGCUGAAGAUACAUCCCUGAUCCUCCAUGCGGUAUUAGUUCAUUGAUGAAAUGGUGUGUUUGACCUUGUAUCUUGAAUGUAUAGAUUCCGUUAGUUCUCUUGCAAAGGGAUUUGUCAUAGUGAACACCAAAGGAAGUAAAUGCAAACAUGCUAUUAUAGGUCCUAACAUAGGUUCGGAAAUGUAUAGCUUCUUCACUCUGUCCAGUAAAAAGUUCAAUUAAUAUAUCAGGUAACUUAUUUUCAUGGAGUAGAACUUCGCCAUCAGAACAGCAAAAGUUUGCUGUCUCUGAGUAGAAUUUUUUGGCUCCACAAUAUUUACAAUCUGAUGCAUCAGGGAGAUGGUCUGCAUUAUGGCUAAUGAAAUUCAGAGCCUCUACACCAGCUGCAUUUUUAGAUACUGUAGAAUAAUAGGAAUACAAAGCAUUUUUAUCACUAUGUUAUGUGCAUAUGAAAGAACUAUAAAUAAAUAUAUAGGAAUGACACCUUUGUUUUGCACUCAUACCUGAUCUCCUUUGGCUUGAGCUUUUGCCUACAGAACAAUAAUGUGGCUAGUCAGGAGGUAAAAACGAUUAUGCUCCUGAUCAGAGUAUAUAACUUCUGCAACAUUUUCAGAUACAUUUUAGUUAUACAUACCUUUUGGAUGAUUUUUUAUGGCAUUAGAAACAUUGGUUUCCACUGACUGACUGCCAACUGUCAUUGAUAUACCUGAUUAAGCAAAUAAGAAUGUGUGAGAACGUAAAUCAAAUUCAGUGACCAAACAACACUGGACAAAUAUUUGUAAAAUUAGGAUCAAGGAGUUCAACCUGCAAGAUCAUCAACUAUUUCAUGCAAGAAAUUAGAGCAGCUAUCACAUAUAGGAGGAUCAUCUAGCAGAUAAAAGCAUAGAAAUUGUUAUAUGAAACAUAGACUGAUAACUAUGAUUAUAACAAAAUAUACCUGACACAUUUAGUUUAUUGAUUCUUCUGCAUUUAUAGAUGGGCAACUUUUUUGAUGAAGAACCUAUAUGAACAAAACAUACCUGACACAUUUAGUUUAUUGAUUCUUCUGCAUUUAUAAAUGGGCGAACCUAUAUGAACAUAAGAUAAAAUAAUACAUUAUAAACAUAGAAGAACAAAAAAUAUCUAUGUUUAAAUGUCAAAAAUUGCUUGUAUAAACAUAGAAUACAGAAACAAUUUGUGUAGAUUGCAUUGGUUUUAUACAGAGAAUUACUUUUGACAGCUAUAGAUUGCUGCAGAUUAGAUUAGGUGUUCCUUCACAUCCUUUAGAUCCUUUAGCUUAUCAGUUGGUUCUCGUUUAGAUCCUUCAAACUUUCAAUUUUUUACCAGUCUGCCAUACUCCAUCUAUGUGUUUCUCAUAAGCAAGUUUAAUAUCCGUUGGUAAUUAGGUAAAAAAAAUUUUUUUUUUGGGGAAUUCUUGAAUAGUGCAUGCAUGAGAAGUAGCUAAAAACUGCUUAUCCACUAUGUUAUUGUUCUUUUAUUGUUGUUUUCAGCUUGCCUCUUGAUUUAGCAUCGGUUACAGCUACGGAUUGCUGCAGAUUAGUUUCUUUGUCUCCACCCUGUUGUAGAAGCUGUUUAAUAGCAAUACUCUGUUGGUUAUUGUGCUCAUUAUUUUGCUGUAAGUUGCACCCAACUGGAAGUUCUUUUUCCUAGAAGUAUUUUUUUUAAAAUUUAGUAUUAAGGCAACAAAACAGAACACUCAAAAACUUCAGAAGUAACUUUUUCUCCUCUUUAUUUAUCAAGAAAGUAAUUUAGAAGUAUGAGUGAGUGAUUGUAGCUUGUUUUUCUGAUCGUUAGUUGUUUUCCUUUGCAUCCUUUAGAUCCUAUAGAUCCUUUAGCUUAUCAAUUGAUUUUUGUUUAGAUUCUUCAAACUUGUCCUUUUUUUCCAGUCUGCCAUAACUCUAAAAAUUUGUUUUUGGGAAAUUCUUGAAUAGUGCAUGCAUGAGAAGUAGCUAAAAACUGAAUCAGUUACCAUUAGUAGCUUUCCUUGCUUUCCUCUUUUGAUAAGCUUCUCUCUGUUUAGCUUGACAAGCUUCUUUUUCUUCCACUGAUAAGGAAGCAUAUUUUUCUCUUGAUCUUCGGUUGCGAAUAAUGUUCUUAUUCGUUGAAUGUGCAAGUGGAUCGGAUGAAGCCAUGGUUUACAGUUUAUAGCAUGAAUAAAGGAAGCAAAAGCUAGCGGAUGAGUUGAAAAUACAUGCAGUUGUAGAUAUACAAGCAUCACCGAUAGAACAGGGAGAAGAGAUGGCUCAAUUUUCUAGUCUACAACAGCAAAAGUAAAAAGCUACUGUAAAAUGACUCUGUUAGACAUCAGCUGAAAAUAUAUAGUCUAUUCAAUGACUAUUUUGAGGGAGGAAAAUGUAAUUAAACAAGACAAUGAGCUGGCUGAUAGAAAUAAACAUCAUAUCUCAUUAAUGCUGCAC
This 13133-nucleotide long non-coding RNA is filed under the name Coffea arabica (coffee). Its description in RNAcentral is "long non-coding RNA (CARA_LNC006342)". The record is from RNAcentral. Lineage: Eukaryota; Viridiplantae; Streptophyta; Magnoliopsida; Gentianales; Rubiaceae.